Lepus europaeus (European hare) is the source of this 2455-nucleotide long non-coding RNA. RefSeq lists it as uncharacterized. NCBI's taxonomy places the organism in Eukaryota, Metazoa, Chordata, Mammalia, Lagomorpha, Leporidae. The transcript is spliced from 4 exons. The record is from RefSeq and is a predicted model, not a curated record.
GCCUCCAGGCAGCUGGGAGGGACGAGACUCCCCUUCUGUCCCCACACCUCCGGGGGACAGCGGCAGCCUGGUCACCAUAUCUGCAGCUCCCCGCAGGCCCCCGCGGCCCCCGCCGCGGCCUCCGUAUCCGUAGGGGGUGACGGCAGACCCACCGCGAGCCCCAUCUUCCUCCGAGCCCAAGCGUGACUGUGUUGCUCAUCCUCAUCCACUCACCAGUGAGCGGCAGCUUCAUCUCCCAGACCUGUGACCUCACCUCCUGUGCAAAGGUCUCAAGCUAAAGAAAAACACUGGGAUGGAUCUGCACAGGGCCGGGCACCAUGACAUGCGACAUGACACUUCAGUUAGUGGCCAACUCUGUACUCUUUGUUUUGGUAUCACAACAUAAUUUUGUGAACUAACUCAUUUAUAAAUAACCCACUUCUGCUCUACCUCACUAAUGAUCCAAGGAAUGCAAACUAAGACAGAAGAUGUAGACCAGCCCCUUAUCAGCUGGGGGAAGAAUAUGGUAGGCGGGAGAACGAGUUGAUGCAGACUAUUAUGAGAACAAGUGUACCGUCUUGAUAAAAACUUCAAAAUCUGCAUUCGCUUGGUCCCACAAAGCACGCCCAGGAAUCCGAGGUAAUAAAAGUUGCACAUAGGCCCAGAGAUGUUUGCAGGGGAGCAGCUUUUCUAACGGCCAGAUACUGGAAGCCACCAAGAUGUCCAUCAGCAGAAGCCCCAGCUGCCCGUGAAUACACACCCUGGGAGGCAGAUGGAGGCUCAAGAAGAAAGUGGAAACAGUUUGAGCUGCUGGGCUCAGGCUGGUUGUUGGUGAACAGACACUCGAACCCCUUCAGGUUGACAGGCAGACAGAGACAGAGACAGAGAUGGACAAGAGAUCUUCCAUUUGCAACAACCAGGGCUAUGACCAGCAACAGACAGGGAUGGACCAGGAUGAAGCCAGGAGCCAGGAGCCAGGAAUACAAUCCUGGGUCUUCUACACCUGCUGCCUCCCAGGGUGCACAUCAGCAAGAAGUUAGAAUUGAAGGCAGAGCCAGGACUCAAACCCAGGCACUCUGAUGCGAUGCAGGUGUCAGGCGUCCCAAGCGGUGCCUUCACUGCUAAUACCAAAUGCCUGCUCUAAGAUCAUGUUUUUAAUGUGCAAAUGUUUCUGCUGCAAGUAAAACCAUUACUUCCAAAAGAAAUAACUAAUUUUGCCAGCGCUGCGGCUCAAUAGGCUAAUCCUCUGCCUUGCGGCGCCGGCACACCGGGUUCUAGUCCCGGUCAGGGCACCGAUCCUGUCCUGGUUGCCCCUCUUCCAGUUCAGCUCUCUGCUGUGGCCCAGGAGUGCAGAGGAGGAUGGCCCAAGUCCUUGAGCCCUGUACCCGUAUGGGAGACCAGGAGAAGCACCUGGCUCCUGGCUUUGGAUCAGCACGGUGCGCCGGCCGCAGCAGCCAUUGGAGGGUGAACCAACGGAAACGGAAGACCUUUCUGUCUCUCUCUCACUGUCCACUCUGCCUGUCAAAAAAAAAAAAAAAAAAAAAAAAAAAAAAAAAAAAAAGGAAGAAAGAAAGAAAGAAAUAACUAAUUUUCCCCUUUCCCUUACAUUGUAGACCAUUACAUCUGUUUUUCAAGAGUUUUAGGUUUUGUUUUUUUUUUUUUUUUUUUUUUUUUUUUUUUAAGAUUUAUUUGGCUGCAAUGGCCAGGGGUGGGCCAGACUGAAGAAAGGAGCCAGGAGCCUCCUCUAGGUCUUCCACAUGGGUGCAGGGGCUCAAGUACUUGAGCCAUCCUCUGCUGCUUUCCCAGACGCAUUAGCAGGGAGCUGGACCAGAAGGGAAGCACCCGGGCCUUGAACCAGUGUCCAUAUAGGAUGCCAGUGCUGCAGGCAGCAGCCUAACCCGUUAUGCCACAGUGCUGGCACCCCAGACCAUCACACUUUUAUCAUCUGCUUUUAUUAUAGUACGGGUUUAGCUAUACUUAGUACCAUGAAGACAGUGGACUCUAAUCAACCAGCUGGGAUCAAAAUCUACCUGAGAGGUUUCCAGAGAACCUCAGCCCAUUAAACAAUAGAAUCAUCUACAAGUAUCCAUGCUAAAAGCAGGACCUCAGGUUGUCCUCAUUUUAUAGCUGGUGAUGCUGGUUCAGAGAAGUGAAAUAACUUACUCAAUGUCACACAGCAAGGACUCAAGCACAGGCCAUCUGGCUUUGAAGACAGCAUUUCCAACCACCGUGCCAGCAUUUGGGUUGGCACCAUACACAGGGAGCCACCCGAACACCAAAAGGUUCUCAGCAGGCCUUGGCCUUAUCAAGUGGACCCCUCAGCAACGGGAGCACCACAUCCAAGACAGAGAACUUGCCCCCGAGGAGCUCACCUGAGCUGGCGAGGAAAGGCAUACACACACACACACACACACCUGAGCUGGCGAGGAAAGGCAUACACACACACACACACACCUGAGCUGGCGAGGAAAGGCAU